AACACCGGUUCACUGAAAAUUCUAACUUAAAAAAAAGUGUUUUUCUUCAUAUGGUCUUAAGCUACAAGUGUUUUUGGCUGGCUAUUUACAUUUUUAUCCUCCAUUUGUCUUCUCCUAAAACACAUGGUUGUUCCUCUUUAAUUCUUCCACCGGUGAGCUUCUUUUCUUCUGCGACUAUUUUGGUUGUUCUCUUCUUCUCUUUAAUUGUUCUUUAUGCUUAGUUUAGUUGUUUUCUGCGACUGUUUUGAUUUGUGAAAGAAUCAGGUUUUUUAGCUCUUGAUAUUGGAUUGGAAUAUUUCAAUCUCUAAUUUAUGAUGAAAUAAGAAAAAAAUCUUACAGCAAUUGAUUGUUUGAUUUUUUUUAGCGAGAUGGGGCUCAUUUCCUUUUUUUCUAACUUUUCCUGUGACAAACAUUUGCCUUCAAAGGGCAAUGAUGAUGUUGAAGGGUUUUUAAUUUUUUUAUCUUUGUUGUUUUUCACUUCCAAUCCCUGUCCUCUGAAUAUAUAUGAAGAUUGAGUUACAUAAGUUUGCUAUUCUUAAUUGAUGUUGGUUUCACUACUCUAUAUUUAGAUUGUUAAGUAGUUUCAUUGAGUGAGUUUGUAUCUUGUUAACUCUUGACAUUAACUCAGCGAGCACUUUAAGCAUAGAAGUAUAUCUACAUGAUGACCUAUUGGUGGAUGAAUGCACAUUUCUAGGUUCUGGUGUAUAAACUUGUAAAUCAUUAGGCUCCCUUUGAGAGAUUAUCUAUUUUGUGCUAGUCUCAUGUGAUGAAUAUAUUUUGUUUGUCCCCCUACUAUUGCCAAUUGUUGAGAAAAUGAAAUCAACGGAAAUCAACUGGUGGAGUUUUGUUGCCCAAAUCAGCUGUCAAGUUUGAGAGGUACCAGAUAAGGGAGAUAGUUUCAACUGGUGUCGAAGUAAGAAAAGUAAAGCCUAGAAAGAAGGUUAUUUUCUCGGAUAUAAAUGCUUAUGAGGGCAUAUGAAAGUAUUAUUGAUUUAGCAAAUGUUCAUGAUGGAGAAAGUGAUGAUGAUGAUGAUGACGACGAAGAUGGUGAAUCAAACAGUUCAAGUGGUUUUGAAAUGGAAUUAACAAGAGAUGUUAUAGCUUCUAGUUUAAUGAAUUCACUUUAAAUUGUAAAUGCUAAUGUAAAUUUUUUAGUAUAUAUAUUUGGUAUAUAAAUAUUAUCCCUUUUUGAAACUUUAAUCCAAAUACAUGUAAUAUUUUAAUUUGUUA
This is a long non-coding RNA of Gossypium raimondii (Peruvian cotton), 1230 nucleotides long. RefSeq lists it as uncharacterized. The transcript has 5 exons. NCBI's taxonomy places the organism in Eukaryota, Viridiplantae, Streptophyta, Magnoliopsida, Malvales, Malvaceae. The record is from RefSeq and is a predicted model, not a curated record.